RNAcentral lists this unclassified non-coding RNA (339 nucleotides) under soil metagenome. RNAcentral describes it as "partial contains 5.8S ribosomal RNA, internal transcribed spacer 2, and large subunit ribosomal RNA". The stretch from base 1 to 120 matches the Rfam family "5.8S ribosomal RNA", at positions 35 to 154 of the family's 154-position model. The record is from RNAcentral.
GAUGAAGAACGCAGCGAAAUGCGAUACGUAGUGUGAAUUGCAGAAUUCAGUGAAUCAUCGAAUCUUUGAACGCACAUUGCACCUCUCGGUAUUCCGGGAGGUAUGCCUGUUCGAGCGUCAUUUGUACCCUCAAGCUCUGCUUGGUGUUGGGUGUUUGUUCCGCCUCUGUGUGUGAACUCGCCUCAAAACAAUUGGCAGCCGGCGUACUUGUUUCGGAGCGCAGCACAUUUUGCGAUCCAGAUCAACGUACAGCGGCAUCCAAGAAGCCUUAUUUAACGCUCUUGACCUCGGAUCAGGUAGGGAUACCCGCUGAACUUAAGCAUAUCGAUAAGCGGAGGA